GCAGCCACCUUUUAAAACGCGUCAAAGCGUAACCUUAACCCCCCAAAUUCCAUUAAUUUUCAUGAACCCCUAAUUUAUAAUGAAUGACUCCAUAUUUAUAUGGAAGACACCAUGCUAGGAUUAGUAACAAGAAUUUAUAAUUCUCCAAAAUGCAAAUAUAAACCAACAUGGAUGGACCAUUGGUAGUUACCGAACCUAAAUUUUAUGCAAUAACACCCACAAGAAAACUCUGCAGUACUUACUCGUUAACCUAACACCAGCGCAUUACAGGAAAGAUUAAAAAAAAGAGAAGGAAUUCGGCAAAUGACGGCCCCGCCUGUUUACCAAAAACAUCGCCUCUUGACUUAUAAUAAGAGGUCCAGCCUGCCCAGUGAAUUUUAAACGGCCGCGGUAUCCUAACCGCGCGAAGGUAGCAUAAUCACUUGUUCUUUAAAUGGGGACUCGUAUCAACGGCAUCACGAGGGUUUUACUGUCUCCUCUUUUUGAUCAGUGAAAUUGAUCUUCCCGUGAAGAAGCGGGAAUAAAUUUAUAAGACGAGAAGACCCCAUGGAGCUUUAAACCAAGUAACAACUUAACCACUUAUCCCAUAAUAAAUUUAAACCCUGUUAUAAGGUUUUUGGUUGGGGUGACCGCGGAGUAAAGCACAUCCUCCACGACGGAAAGAACAAAAUCUUUAUUUAAGAACCACACUUCUAGAAAUUAGUAUACUAACGUUUACUGACCCGACAAUCGAUCAACGGACCAAGUUACCCUGGGGAUAACAGCGCAAUCUACUUCAAGAGCCCAUAUCGACAAGUAGGCUUACGACCUCGAUGUUGGAUCAGGGUAUCCCGGUGGUGCAGCCGCUACCGAAGGUUCGUUUGUUCAACGAUUAAAACCCUACGUGAUCU
This 890-nucleotide ribosomal RNA is filed under the name Polypedates leucomystax (Java whipping frog). RNAcentral's name for it is "partial 16S ribosomal RNA". It matches the Rfam family "Bacterial large subunit ribosomal RNA", at positions 1112 to 2606 of the family's 2925-position model. Lineage: Eukaryota; Metazoa; Chordata; Amphibia; Anura; Rhacophoridae. The record is from RNAcentral.